GACCCCGCUCCGGUGGCAGAGUGGGUAGAGCGUCCUCCUCAAAUGCGGGAGGUCGUGGGUUCGAUACCCGGUCGAGUCA
This is a non-coding RNA of Potamilus streckersoni, 79 nucleotides long. The record is from the annotation of a GenBank genome assembly. NCBI's taxonomy places the organism in Eukaryota, Metazoa, Mollusca, Bivalvia, Unionida, Unionidae.